AACGCACGAGACCUGCGGACCUGCGGAAGGAUCAUUACAGGACUCGCAAGACUCCUACAACCCUGUGAACCUACUAUACGAACGUUGCUUCGGCGGGUGCGCCCCGGGGAUUCGUUCCCGCGGCGCGUCAGCCCGCCGGCAGCCUACAAAUUCUGUUUCUUUGCGUUGGCAUCUCGAGAAAAACAAAUAAGUUAAAACUUUCAGCAAUGGAUCUCU
RNAcentral lists this unclassified non-coding RNA (216 nucleotides) under soil metagenome. RNAcentral describes it as "partial contains 5.8S ribosomal RNA, internal transcribed spacer 2, and large subunit ribosomal RNA". The record is from RNAcentral.